RNAcentral lists this transfer RNA (68 nucleotides) under Marmota monax (woodchuck). RNAcentral describes it as "tRNA.Ala". The record is from RNAcentral. Lineage: Eukaryota; Metazoa; Chordata; Mammalia; Rodentia; Sciuridae.
GGAUUGUGGCUCAGUGGUAGAGUGCUCACCUAGCAUGCACGAGGCCCUGGGUUCGAUCCUCAGCACCA